GGACCUGCAGGGUUAGCAACGGUGGCUGAAUCCUCUCAAUUUGGAUAAGGUUGCAAGUUCCGGUCUCUCCUCCCUCAUUUAUAAACUCUAAAAUCAAACGGGGAUGUGGACAUAAGCAAACAGUCAUAUGAUUGCCAACUCAGGACAAACAUUUAGAUAGUAACAGUAGAAUAAAGAUAAUCCUGCAGAAACAUCAGUUUCCUUUCGUGCAGAUAGCUCUAGAAACCACUAAUUCUUGGCAACAAUGGAUGGGGACAUAGUAUUAAUGGUGGGAGACUCAUGGGCAAAGAUAAAUUUAGGAACUAGAGAUGCAACCAUAGCUUAAAUCAUCUGCAGAGAGUAUGCCAUGAGUAACUGCAAUAGUCCUGGAGUAGCAAAUGGAUAUAUCCCUGUAAAUCAACCUCUGAUUAGUGUUUGAUUCACCAGGAAAACUAGCUUGCUGCGGAGAUUGUCAAUAGUCCUUGACAUGUUAUUGCCAUUAGACCAUGUCUCCAGAAAAGCAUGAGAAACAUUUGCAACAAUUCUUCCUGGUAUUGUUGUAGUGAUCAUGUUCAGAGGAUACUUCCUUUUAACAAUAACUCGUUUAAGCAACUCUCCCCUGUCAUUUAACACCUGAAUUUCCUUGUUUACCUUGAUUUUCAAUUUAACAAAUUUUCAAUUUAACUAGCUAGUGCAGCUAAAGGACCAUCUUACAAUGAAAGAUCUGCCUUACGGAAUGCUGUGCAAACUGAAAAUGCAAUUAACAAGCGACAGCUGCAAGUGGCCAAUGCCCCUCGAGUGAAUGAAUCACCAUAUUUAAGAAGUCGUUUCUCUGUUCCAGAAGCACCUUCUGAAUCUGGAAAGGCUCCACCUAGAUCUGUAGCCCCACCAUUUUCGCUUUUGCCUUCUCCCCCUGUAAAUAACUCCAUUCAAUCUCCUCCACUGGAACCAAAUCCGGCACCCUCUUCUCCCCCUGCAGUUGUUUCUCUUCCAACUCCACUGGAACCAAAUCCCCCUUCUGCUUCACCUAAUGGUUCUGCUUCAAAUCCUCUUCUAGUUCCAACUCCUCCAUCCUCUAAUAAUCCUAGAAAACCUUCCUCAUCAAAAAAACAUGUUUCUAUAAUUGCUGGUGCCAUAGGGGGUGCUCUACUUGCCAUGUCCAUUGUCAUUUUCUAUGUGUAUAAAAUUAACAAGGCUACUGUCAAACCUUGGGCCACAGGAUUGAGUGGGCAACUUCAGAAAGCAUUUGUAACUGGUGUACCGAAGCUUAAAAAAGAUCUGAGCUUGAAGCAGGCUGUGAAGAUUUCAGUAGUGUAAUUGGUUCUUCACCAAUUGGUACACUGUACAAGGGAACAUUGUCCAGUGGCAUUGAAAUAGCUGUGGCCUCAGUUGCAGUAACAUCUUCCAAGGAUUGGCCUAAGCAUUUGGAAGUUCAAUUUAGGAAGAAGAUUGAGACAUUAUCAAAAGUGAAUCACAAGAAUUUUAUCAAUCUUUUUGGAUAUUGUGAGGAGGAUAUUUUACUUCAUUUCUCUUCUCUUCAAUUCCUACUGGUAAAUGUGAACAAACUUGCAUGGUUUCAUUGCUUUAUGGCGUUUUGAAUUCUAACUCUGAUUGUGAAUAGUAGUUUUAGUUCAUUUUAGUCGUGUUUUCUUGGAGAAGAUAGAUAUAUUAUUUAAUAGUGAAUCGAAAUUUCUAUUGGUGUCGAUAGUGUUUUAGUGAUUUUGGAGUGUUUUCUUUGUGAAUUUUCUUUUUCCUGUUUUGGUAGCUAGAGUACAUGGAAAGCUUAUUCAAUUUAUUGACUUUCUAGCUGUGUUAAAGAUGGUUGCGACGAAUCAAGCAAAAUAAAGAAGAAAUUAACGUGCUCGACAUUAUUCCAAUCUGGUGAAAUUGUUAUCGUUUAUGAACGGAAAGUGAAACUCCUCUAUGAUGAUGCAAUCCAUUAGCUGGGUAAUUGCACGAAUUUCUACAUCAAGAAGGAAACGAAACCAUUCCUCGGUUUUCUUUUUGGCUUUUUGUUUUUAAAUUUACAAUUUCCUUCACUCAGCUAAUUUUAAAUUAUAUGGUGUCCGCUGACUCCACAUCCUACUGUUCCUCCUAAAGAGGUCACCUCUCCUCUCCUUGAAUCAGCGUAUUUUAGCACACUGUUUCACUAAACCAGCCCGCUAUGUCGCAACCAUUUGAGAGGAAUUGUUUAUUUCUACACAAUUUAAGACCAGAAGAUGUUAAGAGCCGAUGAAGGCCUUACCGUUCUGUCCACCAUUGUUUAAAAUUUCAAUUGUUGGAUGUAUCUACCCUUGCAAAACAAACAUUAAAGUGAAAAGCAAAGGAGCCUUGGACAACAUACUGCAUAUUUUGCAGGAAUGCAGGGAUAUUACGUCUUAUUGGAGUAGCUAACCUGAUGGAUCUGCCACCUCUGUUCCUUAUUGAUGAUUUAUGUGCAUAUGAAUAUAGAGAGAUCUAUUAUCCAGCA
This is a long non-coding RNA of Manihot esculenta (cassava), 2449 nucleotides long. RefSeq lists it as uncharacterized. The transcript is spliced from 6 exons. Lineage: Eukaryota; Viridiplantae; Streptophyta; Magnoliopsida; Malpighiales; Euphorbiaceae. The record is from RefSeq and is a predicted model, not a curated record.